RNAcentral lists this ribosomal RNA (582 nucleotides) under Triticum aestivum (bread wheat). RNAcentral describes it as "partial small subunit ribosomal RNA". The record is from RNAcentral. Lineage: Eukaryota; Viridiplantae; Streptophyta; Magnoliopsida; Poales; Poaceae.
AUGCUGCCCCUCCGGAUGAUGAUAAGCCUGGUAUCCAUCUCUUUGCUUGUUGUGUCCCCUGCAAUGGGCAUACCAACGGACGACAAGUGCAAGUGCCUCAUGUGCGUCUGCGACCUGGAUCCGCACCCGCUGCCGCCGGCAAUGCCGUCGCACCACCCAGCACCUCCUGAGCACGAAUACAAAUACCCUCCACCGUCGGAGCCGGAGCCAGAGCCAGAGCCACGGCCAGAGCCAAAGCCUGAGCCUGAGCCUGAGCCAAAGCCGGAGCCGGAGCCGGAGCCAACGGCACAGUACUACCCGCCUCCUCCGGUGCCUGUGCCGACGCCAGUGUACUACUACCCACCGCCGUCGGAGCCGGAACCAACGCCCGUGUACUACCUUCCACCGCCGGCUGAGCCGUACGAGUACCCGUACGUGCAGCCAGCGCCGGUGUUUGGCAUAGUGGGGACGCCGGGGCAGAUGUACCCGCGUGAUAGCAUGUUCAACCCGUCCAGCGCCCACCGGAAGCUCUGUCGUGGGAUAUCCUCCGUAAUUCUCGCCUCCUCGAUCGUGGCAGCAGGGCUACUGUCACUGCUCAUAUAA